This 878-nucleotide long non-coding RNA is filed under the name Anser brachyrhynchus (Pink-footed goose). RNAcentral's name for it is "lncRNA (ENSABRG00000012910.1)". Lineage: Eukaryota; Metazoa; Chordata; Aves; Anseriformes; Anatidae. The record is from RNAcentral.
GGACUGAUAAAAGCAUUUCGCUAAUUUAAUUAGAACUAAUUUGGCUAAAACUGAAUUGUUAUAGUGACCACCAACAUUUUUGAUGACAAAGCAUGAUCUGCCUCCACAUCUACUGAGCUAACGUUAAGUGUAUUUUAAUUGAAAUAGACUGAUUCACAUCUUACCCUAAGUCUUUUACAUAAUGAAAGGAUGAGUGUAAAGGAAACAAUGCUGCCAUUUGCAAGAAGUUCGUAGAUCUUUUUUCCUUGCUUAUCAUAUUGUUCCAGGCAUGCAGAAGAUCAUUUACACUGUCCUCAGGAAAAAAAGGUACAAUAAGAAGGACUAAAAUCUCCUUUCUUACUAUUGCUGAAAGCACAAAGACCUACAGCUGUUCAUAUUCAGUGACAUCCUGAUCUCUGUUGCAUCAAGCCUACAUGACGUAGCUUUACACCAGCUCUCCAAGUUUCAUGCAGCAGUUUCAGCAGACUCCUCAUACUAGAAACCUUCCAAGGGGACUUCAGAUGUGAAAACACAGAGAAGACCAAAGAAACUCUUCAUACUUUAUUCAGAAAUAUAAGGGUUGAGAGAAAAACAGCUCAGCCAGGACAUAACAGUGCCUUUGCCUCAGAGGCAAACUCACUUAUCUGUUUCAUCAUAAAGUACCAAACUGUUAGUGUUAUAAAGAAACAACAGGGAAGUAAAAAUAAGAAAACAAAGAGAAUAAGAAAUUUGAAAAAUGAAGGGAAAACGUGAUACAUUACAGUGAACAGGAGAUGAGAAAAUAUUCUUAUGUAUCAGCACAUAGCCUUUUACUAAAGAAAAUUAGGAUGGCCAUAGAAUUUGGUCUAAUUAUACACAAAAUGUAUAGAUUAAGUGAUUACUUUUACAUGGCAAUUUUG